This 433-nucleotide ribosomal RNA is filed under the name uncultured bacterium. Its description in RNAcentral is "partial 16S ribosomal RNA". It matches the Rfam family "Bacterial small subunit ribosomal RNA", at positions 29 to 507 of the family's 1533-position model. The record is from RNAcentral.
AACGAACGCUGGCGGCAUGCCUAACACAUGCCAGUCGAACGAGACCUUCGGGUCUAGUGGCGCACGGGUGCGUAACGCGUGGGAACCUGCCCUUAGGUUCGGAAUAACUCUCCGAAAGGGGUGCUAAUACCGGAUAAUGUCUUCGGACCAAAGAUUUAUCGCCUUUGGAUGGGCCCGCGUUGGAUUAGCUAGUUGGUAGGGUAAAAGCCUACCAAGGCGAUGAUCCAUAGCUGGUCUGAGAGGAUGAUCAGCCACACUGAGACUGAGACACGGCCCAGACUCCUACGGGAGGCAGCAGUGGGGAAUAUUGGACAAUGGGCGGAAGCCUGAUCCAGCAAUGCCGCGUGAGUGAUGAAGGCCUUAGGGUUGUAAAGCUCUUUUACCCGGGAUGAUAAUGACAGUACCGGGAGAAUAAGCUCCGGCUAACUCCGUG